This 547-nucleotide ribosomal RNA is filed under the name uncultured eukaryote. RNAcentral describes it as "SSU rRNA". It matches the Rfam family "Eukaryotic small subunit ribosomal RNA", at positions 21 to 570 of the family's 1831-position model. The record is from RNAcentral.
UGUAGUCAUAUGCUUGUCUCAAAGAUUAAGCCAUGCAUGUCUAAGUAUAAGCGAUUAUACAGCGAAACUGCGAAUGGCUCAUUAAAUCAGUUAUCGUUUAUUUGAUAGUACCUUACUACAUGGAUAACCGUGGUAAUUCUAGAGCUAAUACAUGCUAAAAAUCCCGACUUCGGAAGGGAUGUAUUUAUUAGAUUAAAAACCAAUGCCCUUCGGGGCUCCUUGGUGAUUCAUAAUAACUUCUCGAAUCGCACGGCCUUGCGCCGGCGAUGGUUCAUUCAAAUUUCUGCCCUAUCAACUUUCGACGGCUGGGUCUUGGCCAGCCAUGGUGACAACGGGUAACGGAGGGUUAGGGCUCGACCCCGGAGAAGGAGCCUGAGAAACGGCUACUACAUCCAAGGAAGGCAGCAGGCGCGCAAAUUACCCAAUCCCGACUCGGGGAGGUAGUGACAAUAAAUACUGAUACAGGGCUCUUUUGGGUCUUGUAAUUGGAAUGAGUACAAUUUAAAUCCCUUAACGAGGAACAAUUGGAGGGCAAGUCUGGUAAUCG